CCCGCCACUAUGCCAGUCUGUAACCGUGACUGAGUAUGAUCCAGUGGAGGCUCAGAUUGACUCAGCUUUUAGGAAACAGAUAUGCCCAAUGUAAUGGACAACUCUGUGCCGUAAAGUUUGGAACACUA
Syngnathus acus (greater pipefish) is the source of this 128-nucleotide small nucleolar RNA. RefSeq annotates it as small nucleolar RNA SNORA65. The transcript has a single exon. The record is from RefSeq and is a predicted model, not a curated record. Lineage: Eukaryota; Metazoa; Chordata; Actinopteri; Syngnathiformes; Syngnathidae.